UUUCAAGUAGGAGAGAAUGACGUGUGUUCGUCAACCGAACCACAGAACCUGGUUCAGGAUUUGCUGGAUCCUCUGAACUACCUGCGGUGACUACGGCCGGCUAAGUCAGUGAUUAGGAAGUCUUUUUUAAGGGUAAAACCAUGGAACGUGUCUGCCUAAAGGCGGAAGGUGGAGGAGGCGGACAGGCGUCUGAAGAGGAUGUUAAGACGCCGUCUGGAUGCGACCUAGACUUGCACAAGCCUGAGAGACGACACCUGUCAUCCGUUUUGGGGACGCCGAGGAAAGAACGUCUAUUGCAAGCCCAACCUUCAAGUGAAGAGAAAAAUGACCGACUAUCAUCCCGGGCCCUCCUGGGAAAGUCAUCCGGGCCCUCCUGGGAAAGUUUCGUGAGGUGACACUCGGGUGAAUGAAGAGGUCGAUGCCCAUGAUGUGAAGGUUUAAAGGCGUUUUGUUCAAGUGGGAGAGAAUGACAACUGAUCUCCAGAGACAAGUCCAGAUUAUGUUGGUUCUGGACUCUGUGGUGCAAAAAGGCCGGGAUCAUUGGAAGCGUAUUAUUGAGGGUCUAGUUGAAUAACAUAACGGUGUCUGCCUAUAGACGAAAUGUGGAGCCGAGGAAGAGGCGUUUGAAGAGGAUGCCAAGGUGCAACUGCUAUACGAGGAAGGGUUUGGUUGGGACAGUGUCCACCUGACUCAAAAGCCAAUGCACAAUUCUGACUUACUAAGUUUUGACUUUCUAUCCGUAAGUUUAUAUUGAAGCACGUUUCAUCAAAUCGAAUCUAAUACUUAUUGACAAGGAAACUGGUAAUACCAA
This is a long non-coding RNA of Haliotis rubra (blacklip abalone), 811 nucleotides long. RefSeq lists it as uncharacterized. Lineage: Eukaryota; Metazoa; Mollusca; Gastropoda; Lepetellida; Haliotidae. The record is from RefSeq and is a predicted model, not a curated record. The transcript has 2 exons.